This 301-nucleotide ribosomal RNA is filed under the name uncultured bacterium. Its description in RNAcentral is "partial 16S ribosomal RNA". It matches the Rfam family "Bacterial small subunit ribosomal RNA", at positions 509 to 807 of the family's 1533-position model. The record is from RNAcentral.
CAGCAGCCACGGUAAUACGAAGGGGGCUAGCGUUGCUCGGAAUUACUGGGCGUAAAGGGCGCGUAGGCGGACAGUUAAGUCGGGGGUGAAAGCCCGGGGCUCAACCUCGGAAUUGCCUUCGAAACUGGCUGUCUUGAGUAUGAGAGAGGUAUGUGGAACUCCGAGUGUAGAGGUGAAAUUCGUAGAUAUUCGGAAGAACACCAGUGGCGAAGGCGACAUACUGGCUCAUUACUGACGCUGAGGCUCGAAAGCGUGGGGAGCAAACAGGAUUAGAUACCCGCGUAGUCCCUGUCUCUUAUAC